RNAcentral lists this ribosomal RNA (468 nucleotides) under uncultured bacterium. RNAcentral describes it as "partial 16S ribosomal RNA". It matches the Rfam family "Bacterial small subunit ribosomal RNA", at positions 28 to 507 of the family's 1533-position model. The record is from RNAcentral.
GACGAACGCUGGCGGCGUGCUUAACACAUGCAAGUCGAACGGAAAGGCCCUGCUUUUGUGGGGUGCUCGAGUGGCGAACGGGUGAGUAACACGUGAGUAACCUGCCCUUGACUUUGGGAUAACUUCAGGAAACUGGGGCUAAUACCGGAUAGGAGCUCCUGCUGCAUGGUGGGGGUUGGAAAGUUUCGGCGGUUGUGGAUGGACUCGCGGCUUAUCAGCUUGUUGGUGGGGUAGUGGCUUACCAAGGCUUUGACGGGUAGCCGGCCUGAGAGGGUGACCGGGCACCUUGGGACUGAGAGACGGCGCAGACGGCUACGGGAGGCAGCAGUGGGGAGUAUGGCACAAUGGGCGGAAGCCUGAUGCAGCAACGCUGGGUGCGGGAUGACGGCCUUCUGGUUGUAAACCACUUUCGCCUGUGACGAAGCGUGAGUGACGGUAAUGGGUAAAGAAGCACCGGCUAACUACGUG